CUACGGGGUGCAGCAGUCGAGAAUCUUCCGCAAUGGACGAAAGUCUGACGGAGCGACGCCGCGUGCGGGAUGAAGGCCUUCGGGUUGUAAACCGCUGUCAGCGGGGAGGAAAUGCAUCAGGGUUCUCCCUGGUGUUUGACCGAUCCGCAGAGGAAGCGCAGGCUAAGUUCGUGCCAGCAGCCGCGGUAACACGAACUGCGCGAACGUUAUUCGGAAUCACUGGGCUUAAAGAGUUCGUAGGCGGCCUUUCAAGUCGGGCGUGAAAUCCCUCGGCUUAACCGAGGAAUUGCGCCUGAUACUGUUGGGCUUGAGGGGGAUAGGGGUGAGCGGAACUGAUGGUGGAGCGGUGAAAUGCGUUGAUAUCAGCAGGAACACCGGUGGCGAAGGCGGCUCACUGGAUCUCUUCUGACGCUGAGGAACGAAAGCUAGGGGAGCGAACGGGAUUAGAUACCCUCGUAGUC
This 461-nucleotide ribosomal RNA is filed under the name uncultured bacterium. Its description in RNAcentral is "partial 16S ribosomal RNA". It matches the Rfam family "Bacterial small subunit ribosomal RNA", at positions 339 to 795 of the family's 1533-position model. The record is from RNAcentral.